This is a long non-coding RNA of Passer domesticus (house sparrow), 1593 nucleotides long. RefSeq lists it as uncharacterized. The record is from RefSeq and is a predicted model, not a curated record. The transcript has 2 exons. NCBI's taxonomy places the organism in Eukaryota, Metazoa, Chordata, Aves, Passeriformes, Passeridae.
CCUGAAAGAUACAUCAAGACCUCUAAAAGCAAGCCAUUCAAAUCCAUCUAAUAGCGUGUAAUCCAUUACAAAAAUUCAGUGAUCUAUCCACAUUUAACAGCAUGGAAGAAGUGUUCAUGUUGGUAGAAUAACCAAUAAAUAGAACAAAAAUCAUAGUCCUGGUCUAAGAUGUUUCCUGAGCAGGUAAAGAAGCUAAAUCUGGUGGAUAAAUUACUAUUCCCCAAAUAAUUUGCUCAGCACUAAUUAGACACCAUAGAGUAACAUGCUACUGGGGAAAGUGAUGGAUCACUGCAAGACUGUCACGAUCCCUUCCAGCUACAGAUAGAUAUAUGAAGAUAAACAUACAGGUAUAUGACCAGGAGGCCUGGUCAGGGACACCAACACCUUCUGAUGCUUGGAAACCUGGGGCCAUCGUAGCUCUGUGCAAGUACAAAUGACCUUCUCCUCAUUAAACCUUGGCUUAGUGGGCAGUGAGCUGAGCAUAAGGUGGAAGCAUUCUUGCAGCAAGGAAGAUUGGUGGUAUCCAGGCUGCCAAAAGAGCAGGCAGCACAAGCAGCAGAUUGAGGGCAGGAUUUAUCAGACUCUGCUUGGCACUCACUAGACCUUAUCAGAAAUCCUGUGUUCAAUUGUGGGACCUUUAUACAAGAUGCUGACAAACUGGACAAAGUUCAGAGAGGAGCACUGAGAUGGUUGGUGACAAUCUGCAAGCAGCAGCUGCAGGGCUGAGGCUUUUUGAGCCUGAAGCAGAUAGCUUCAAGGGCAGUUAAUUGCAUCCUCCAGUAUCCCAUAGGAAAGGGGUGGAAAAGAUGGAAGUGGAUUACCACAGGAGACCAUAGAGGAGGGCAAGAGGCAAAAGAUAACUGAACAGGAAAUUCCUGAUGGAUGUUAGGAACAGACUCUGAAGGUAAGUCAAGAGUCAGAGCAGGUUGGAGAGAGAGGUUGUGCAGUCCAGCCUUGGAAACUCUCAAGACAACCUGGCGCAAUCUCACGUCUGACCUUCUUUCAAGCAAGAGAUUGGACCAGAGACCUCCCUACAUCCCUUCCAGCCGGAAUAACUCAGUGCUGCUACAGAAGUCAUUAUGUUCAAUUUCUGAGGUUCAUAUUAGCCUGUAUACAAGGGUGAAGUUCCAAGCUCCAGAGAUUCACUUACUGGUCUAGUUUCCUGUGAUAGGGCAGUAUAUGCCUCUUUUUUUAUUAAUUACAAUUAUCUGUGUUACCUGUUUCUGCUAUUUGAUCAUUUCAUCUGACAUAGAAUACUUAUAAACAUUUCCAAAUAACUAACUGGAUUAGUAUAUGCAAAAUGCAGGAAUAUUUGUGCACCUGUGAAUACAAGUAAGCUGAAAUCUGGUCAGAAAAAGUUCAGAAGACAUUAGUGGAAGAGCUGUUAUGCAAGAAAAUUACAAACUUGCUGAUCAUUAUUGUGAUAUUCCUAAAUUCUGGAUAUGCAAGUUAUGUUAAAUUUCAGAAUUCCAACACCAUAGCAUGCUAUAAAGUCAAGCUGGCUAACUUGACAUUAAGUCAACACUUAAAUGUAAUUUAUGAUAAUAACGUGCUUUAAAAAAAAAAUGGACAGGGUAAGUAAUCUAGCUCUAA